This 92-nucleotide transfer RNA is filed under the name Spirochaetota bacterium. RNAcentral's name for it is "Spirochaetes bacterium (wastewater metagenome) tRNA-Sec". It matches the Rfam family "Selenocysteine transfer RNA". The record is from RNAcentral. Lineage: Bacteria; Pseudomonadati; Spirochaetota.
GGAAGAGGAUGGGGUCCGGUGGCCCCCGCGGUCUUCAAAACCGUAGGCUGCAAUUUAUUGCAGCGGCAGGUUCGAUUCCUGCCCCUUCCGCA